RNAcentral lists this ribosomal RNA (482 nucleotides) under uncultured bacterium. Its description in RNAcentral is "bacterial SSU rRNA". It matches the Rfam family "Bacterial small subunit ribosomal RNA", at positions 501 to 986 of the family's 1533-position model. The record is from RNAcentral.
CUACGUGCCAGCAGCCGCGGUAAUACGUAUGUCACAAGCGUUAUCCGGAUUUAUUGGGCGUAAAGCGCGUCUAGGUGGUUAUGUAAGUCUGAUGUGAAAAUGCAGGGCUCAACUCUGUAUUGCGUUGGAAACUGUAUGACUAGAGUACUGGAGAGGUAAGCGGAACUACAAGUGUAGAGGUGAAAUUCGUAGAUAUUUGUAGGAACGCCGAUGGGGAAGCCAGCUUACUGGACAGAUACUGACGCUAAAGCGCGAAAGCGUGGGUAGCAAACAGGAUUAGAUACCCUGGUAGUCCACGCCGUAAACGAUGAUUACUAGGUGUUGGGGGUCGAACCUCAGCGCCCAAGCUAACGCGAUAAGUAAUCCGCCUGGGGAGUACGUACGCAAGUAUGAAACUCAAAGGAAUUGACGGGGACCCGCACAAGCGGUGGAGCAUGUGGUUUAAUUCGACGCAACGCGAGGAACCUUACCAGCGUUUGACA